Molecule: ribosomal RNA, 866 nt
Filed under: uncultured bacterium
Lineage: Bacteria
Description: bacterial SSU rRNA
Rfam family: Bacterial small subunit ribosomal RNA
Source: RNAcentral
GAUGAACGCUAGCGGCAGGCUUAACACAUGCAAGUCGAGGGGUAUAGUAGCAAUACUAGAGACCGGCGCACGGGUGCGUAACGCGUAUGCAAUCUACCUUUUACAGAGGGAUAGCCCAGAGAAAUUUGGAUUAAUACCUCAUAGUAUAUUAGAGUGGCAUCACUUUAUUAUUAAAGUUCCAACGGUAAAAGAUGAGCAUGCGUCCUAUUAGCUAGAUGGUAAGGUAACGGCUUACCAUGGCUACGAUAGGUAGGGGUCCUGAGAGGGAGAUCCCCCACACUGGUACUGAGACACGGACCAGACUCCUACGGGAGGCAGCAGUGAGGAAUAUUGGACAAUGGGCGCAAGCCUGAUCCAGCCAUGCCGCGUGCAGGAAGAAGCAUCUAUGGUGUGUAAACUGCUUUUGUACAGGAAGAAACAUCCCGACGUGUCGGGACUUGACGGUACUGUAAGAAUAAGGAUCGGCUAACUCCGUGCCAGCAGCCGCGGUAAUACGGAGGAUCCAAGCGUUAUCCGGAAUCAUUGGGUUUAAAGGGUCCGUAGGCGGUUUGGUAAGUCAGUGGUGAAAGCCCAUCGCUUAACGAUGGAACGGCCAUUGAUACUGCCAGACUUGAAUUAUUGUGAAGUAACUAGAAUAUGUAGUGUAGCGGUGAAAUGCUUAGAUAUUACAUGGAAUACCAAUUGCGAAGGCAGGUUACUAACAAUAUAUUGACGCUGAUGGACGAAAGCGUGGGGAGCGAACAGGAUUAGAUACCCUGGUAGUCCACGCCGUAAACGAUGGAUACUAGCUGUUCGGAGCAAUCUGAGUGGCUAAGCGAAAGUGAUAAGUAUCCCACCUGGGGAGUACGUUCGCAAGAAUGAAACUC